This 253-nucleotide ribosomal RNA is filed under the name uncultured bacterium. RNAcentral describes it as "partial 16S ribosomal RNA". It matches the Rfam family "Bacterial small subunit ribosomal RNA", at positions 524 to 776 of the family's 1533-position model. The record is from RNAcentral.
UACGUAGGGUGCAAGCGUUGUCCGGAAUUAUUGGGCGUAAAGAGCUCGUAGGCGGUCUGUCACGUCGGCUGUGAAAACCCGAGGCUCAACCUCGGGCCUGCAGUCGAUACGGGCAAACUAGAGUACUGCAGGGGAGACUGGAAUUCCUGGUGUAGCGGUGGAAUGCGCAGAUAUCAGGAGGAACACCGGUGGCGAAGGCGGGUCUCUGGGCCAUUACUGACGCUGAGGAGCGAAAGCGUGGGGAGCGAACAGG